ACUUCCUCCCACACAAGCACUGGUCUAUACUCAGAUGAAGACUCUAGGGAGACCUCUACAGACCUCUGAAGUUCUACAAAGCUCCCUCCUCUCAGUUGAUGGACAUGGAACCCUUGAUUGCCUUCAGCUAAUUCCAUGAUGCUUCCCAAUACCACUAAUGGCCAGUUUCACUUCUGCUCCAAUUGGACAGUGACGUGCACCCAGGAAUAGCCCUUCAGCAUGCCUCCUGCUCUUCCUCCCCCCGACUAGGAACACUCUCAGGGCUAACAAUACCACGAAGGAUAUUGACCAUUGAGACCCCUGGAGGCAGGACUGCUCUCCAACUCCACAUCUGAGGCAAAUUCAUCCUAUGCAAACGAUGGGGAGUGGUAACUAAUAAUUUGUCCUCUCAGU
Diceros bicornis minor is the source of this 393-nucleotide long non-coding RNA. RefSeq lists it as uncharacterized. The record is from RefSeq and is a predicted model, not a curated record. The transcript has 3 exons. NCBI's taxonomy places the organism in Eukaryota, Metazoa, Chordata, Mammalia, Perissodactyla, Rhinocerotidae.